RNAcentral lists this non-coding RNA (85 nucleotides) under Clostridium sp. RNAcentral's name for it is "SAM-I sequence". It matches the Rfam family "SAM riboswitch aptamer (S box leader)". From Rfam's summary of the family: The SAM riboswitch is found upstream of a number of genes which code for proteins involved in methionine or cysteine biosynthesis in Gram-positive bacteria. The SAM riboswitch acts at the level of transcription termination control. The predicted structure consists of a complex stem-loop region followed by a single stem loop terminator region. The record is from RNAcentral. Lineage: Bacteria; Bacillati; Bacillota; Clostridia; Eubacteriales; Clostridiaceae.
ACCUUAUAAAGAGUGAUUGAGAGACUGGCUCUAUGAAAUCACACCAACCUAUAUAAGAUAGGUGGUAAGCCCAGAUGGAUGAGGA